Astatotilapia calliptera (eastern happy) is the source of this 1156-nucleotide long non-coding RNA. Lineage: Eukaryota; Metazoa; Chordata; Actinopteri; Cichliformes; Cichlidae. The record is from Ensembl.
AUUCGAGAGGAACAGUGACACGGUCAAAGGACUUCGAGCUGAAUAUGUACGGAGAAUCUUGGCCAUGGAUGGAGCUGCACAGCCUCAUGAAUACAUUUUCAUUGAUGAAGCUGGAUUCGACCUGAGCAAAACAAGACGACGGGGUCGUAAUGUAAUUGGCCAAAGGGCAAUUGUGCACGUCCCAGGGCAGCGCGGGGGAAACAUCACAUUAUGUGCCGCCAUAUGCCUUCGAGGGCUUCUGCACCAUCAUGCAAUACUAGGUCCAUACAAUAGCCAACACAUACUCACAUUUCUAGAUGCUCUCCAUGAUAUAGUUGUACAGAACAGACCAGAUCAGCCCAGGUUUGUGGUGAUAUGGGAUAAUGUCAGUUUCCAUCGGGCUGCUCUGGUCCAGGCCUGGUUCACCGACCACAAUCAAUUUGAGGUGGUAUACUUGCCCCCUUACUCACCAUUUUUAAACCCUAUUGAGGAAUUUUUUUCGGCUUGGAGAUGGCGAGUAUAUGACCGCCAACCACAUGCCCGCAUGCCUCUUCUGCAGGCAAUGGAACAGGCCUGCGGCGACAUUGAGGUGACAGCGAUCCAUGGAUGGUUUCGGCAUGCAAGAGGGUAUUUUCCCCGGUGCCUAGCGGGAGAGGACAUAGCUUGCGAUGUUGAUGAGGUCCUGUGGCCAGACCCCAACAGACGGCGGGAUCCAUGAGCCCACUUAUGCACACUUGUCAUGGUUUUUUGUGUUUACAGUAUAGUGUUUUUUCUAUUGCAGUAUUAUUGUGUUGUGGUUUUUUUUUUUUUGCUUCAUCUGAAUUCAUGGUACUGCGAUGUACACUAUUGAGUAGGUCUAUUUGCGUUUUUGGUUGUUUGGAAAUGUGUCUCCUGUAAAUGUGCCUUCUGAAUACACAAUGGAAAUCAAGGACUGCAGUGUUUUAUAUAAAGAAGACUAGUGUGUUCCCCCUGAUCUGUCAGUGUUUGCAUAUGAUGCAAGUAUGUGUCAUUUUGUCAACAGAGUUACAUUUUGACAGAGGAAUGUUAGGUUUUGACAGCAGAGUUUAGGUUUUGGGAGUGGAGUUUCAUUUUGGCACAGAUGUGUAUGGUAUAUUUCCCAGUGUUGUGUCGUGUUUACUUGUGUUUAGAGUUUUGGCACAAUGAGCGACGUUUUGCC